This 459-nucleotide ribosomal RNA is filed under the name uncultured bacterium. Its description in RNAcentral is "partial 16S ribosomal RNA". It matches the Rfam family "Bacterial small subunit ribosomal RNA", at positions 338 to 795 of the family's 1533-position model. The record is from RNAcentral.
CCUACGGGUGGCAGCAGUGAGGAAUAUUGGUCAAUGGGCGCGAGCCUGAACCAGCCAAGUAGCGUGAAGGAUGACUGCCCUACGGGUUGUAAACUUCUUUUAUAAAGGAAUAAAGUGAGGCACGUGUGCCUUUUUGUAUGUACUUUAUGAAUAAGGAUCGGCUACUUCCGUGCAGCAGCCCCGGUUAUAAGGGGGAUUCGGGCGGUUUUCGGAUUUAUUGGGUUUAAAGGGAGCGUAGAUGGGUUGUUAAGUCCGUUGUGAAAGUUUGCGGCUCAAACGUAAAAUUGCAAUUGAUACUGGCAGUCUUGAGUACAGUUGAGGUAGGCGGAAUUCGUGGUGUAGCGGUGAAAUGCUUAGAUAUCACGAAGAACUCCGAUUGCGAAGGCAGCUUACUAAACUGCCACUGACAUUGAUGCUCGAAAGUGUGGGUAUCAAACAGGAUUAGAUACCCGUGUAGUC